GACGAACGCUAGCGGCAGGCCUAAUACAUGCAAGUCGAACGGUAAGGUCUCUUCGGAGAUACACGAGUGGCGCACGGGUGCGUAACGCGUAUGCAACCUACCUAUCAUUGGAGGAUAGUCGCGGGAAACUGCGAAUAAUACUCCGUACGCUGUAGAUUCGGCAUCGAAUUUACAGGAAAGCUCCGGCGUUGAUAGAUGGGCAUGCGUGACAUUAGCUAGUUGGUGAGGUAACGGCUCACCAAGGCAACGAUGUCUAGCUGGUCUGAGAGGAUGAUCAGCCACACGGGCACUGAGACACGGGCCCGACUCCUACGGGAGGCAGCAGUAAGGAUAUUGGACAAUGGGGAACCCUGAUCCAGCCAUGCCGCGUGGUGGAAGACGGCCC
RNAcentral lists this ribosomal RNA (385 nucleotides) under uncultured bacterium. Its description in RNAcentral is "bacterial SSU rRNA". It matches the Rfam family "Bacterial small subunit ribosomal RNA", at positions 28 to 417 of the family's 1533-position model. The record is from RNAcentral.